CUAACGCAUUAAGCACCCCGCCUGGGGAGUACGGCCGCAAGGCUAAAAACUCAAAGGAAUUGACGGGGGCCCGCACAAGCGGUGGAGCAUGUGGUCAAUUCGACGCAACGCGCAGAACCUUACCUGGGCUAGAAAAUGCAGGAGCCUGGCCGAAAAGGUCGGGGGUGCUCUUCGGAGAACCUGUAGUUAGGUGCUGCAUGGCUGUCGUCAGCUCGUGUCGUGAGAUGUUGGGUUAAGUCCCGCAACGAGCGCAACCCUUGUCGUUAGUUGCCAGCGGUUCGGCCGGGCACUCUAGCGAGACUGCCGAUAUUUAAAUCGGAGGAAGUGGGGAUGACGUCAAGUCCUCAUGGCCCUUAUGUCCAGGGCUACACACGUGCUACAAUGGCCGGUACAAACGGUUGCGAACCCGCGAGGGGGAGCUAAUCCGAAAAAACCGACCUCAGUACGGAUAAGAGUCUGCAACUCGACUCUUUGAAGUUGGAAUCGCUAGUAAUCCCUGAUCAGCAGGCAGGGGUGAAUACGUUCCCGGG
This 530-nucleotide ribosomal RNA is filed under the name uncultured bacterium. RNAcentral's name for it is "bacterial SSU rRNA". It matches the Rfam family "Bacterial small subunit ribosomal RNA", at positions 852 to 1378 of the family's 1533-position model. The record is from RNAcentral.